Molecule: ribosomal RNA, 253 nt
Filed under: uncultured bacterium
Lineage: Bacteria
Description: partial 16S ribosomal RNA
Rfam family: Bacterial small subunit ribosomal RNA
Source: RNAcentral
UACGUAGGGCGCAAGCGUUGUCCGGAAUUAUUGGGCGUAAAGAGCUCGUAGGCGGCUUGUCACGUCGAUUGUGAAAGCCCGAGGCUUAACCUCGGGUCUGCAGUCGAUACGGGCUAGCUAGAGUGUGGUAGGGGAGAUCGGAAUUCCUGGUGUAGCGGUGAAAUGCGCAGAUAUCAGGAGGAACACCGAUGGCGAAGGCAGGUCUCUGGGCCACUACUGACGCUGAGAAGCGAAAGCAUGGGGAGCGAACAGG